CAUCUGCCCGGGGAUCCCGACGCAUCAGAAUAUCGAGCCGAUGGCUAAAUGACUGGAGCCGAACGCUCCUGAUUAAAGCUGCAGGAAAGAGACCGGCGGAAGGCAGCUCGCGCUGGCUCGUUGCUGACCUGGUGGGGCUGCCCCGGGUGCGAGCCGCCAUCCAUCACACCCAGGAGCGUGUUACCUGUGUGCGCUGCUGGAGCAUCGUGUCUCGCUGGAGCAUCGUGUCUCACUGGAGCUCUUUGAGCGGGGGGGUUUCUAAUUUUAGCCUGUCAGAGCUCUGUGUGAGGUGGCAGCAAUUGAGAUGAAUGGGUGAGGGAGGGAGAGAGGGAGGGAGGGGCAGUCAUUGGCUGGCCCCGGUGAAGCGGGCUACUGACGAUGCCCUGACCCACCCACCCAACAUGAGCGCGCACACGCACACACACACACACACACACGAGCACUGAGGAGCGGGCUGCUGUGAUUGUCCCGGGCCGUCGCCGGUGAGGGAAGCGGAGGUUGCACGGUGAUCCGCAGGCUCGGUGCUGCGGCCGGGGAUCUGCGGGGUGAGAGGUUCCCCUCCCCGCUCCCUGCUCCUCCUGCUCGUCCAGGGAGGCGCUCGGAGCUCCGCUCGGCGGCCCGGCACAAGCGACGGCGCGUCCAGGCGCCUCCUCUUCUCCAACAUCUGCUUGCAAGCGGAAUCCCGGCUGCGACGCACGGAGGGGAAAGGGAGGCGCGCCGUGCUCCCGCAGCUUGUUCGACGAUGUCCGUGUCGAGCCCCGUGAAGAGCUCCCGCAAGUGGAGGCAGGACCUGCAGCAGUUCCGCCAGACCCACGGCAUCUCCAAGAAGGUCCUGCGCAACUGCUGCCUGGUGCGACGCAUCAAAGCGUGGGUGUCUCCGCACCCCAAAGAUAACUGCGGGAAAAGGGAACGUUACCUCUAUACGGUCUCCA
This 932-nucleotide long non-coding RNA is filed under the name Scleropages formosus (Asian bonytongue). Its description in RNAcentral is "lncRNA (ENSSFOG00015030134.1)". Lineage: Eukaryota; Metazoa; Chordata; Actinopteri; Osteoglossiformes; Osteoglossidae. The record is from RNAcentral.